UUAGAGUUUGAUCCUGGCUCAGGACGAACGCUGGCGGCGCGCCUAACACAUGCAAGUCGAACGAGAGAUGAGGAGCUUGCUCUUCAAAUCGAGUGGCGAACGGGUGAGUAACGCGUGAGGAACCUGCCUCAAAGAGGGGGACAACAGUUGGAAACGACUGCUAAUACCGCAUAAGCCCACGGCUCGGCAUCGAGCAGAGGGAAAAGGAGCAAUCCGCUUUGAGAUGGCCUCGCGUCCGAUUAGCUAGUUGGUGAGGUAAUGGCCCACCAAGGCGACGAUCGGUAGCCGGACUGAGAGGUUGAACGGCCACAUUGGGACUGAGACACGGCCCAGACUCCUACGGGAGGCAGCAGUGGGGAAUAUUGCACAAUGGGGGAAACCCUGAUGCAGCGACGCCGCGUGGAGGAAGAAGGUCUUCGGAUUGUAAACUCCUGUUGUUGAGGAAGAUAAUGACGGUACUCAACAAGGAAGUGACGGCUAACUACGUGCCAGCAGCCGCGGUAAAACGUAGGUCACAAGCGUUGUCCGGAAUUACUGGGUGUAAAGGGAGCGCAGGCGGGAGAACAAGUUGGAAGUGAAAUCCAUGGGCUCAACCCAUGAACUGCUUUCAAAACUGUUUUUCUUGAGUAGUGCAGAGGUAGGCGGAAUUCCCGGUGUAGCGGUGGAAUGCGUAGAUAUCGGGAGGAACACCAGUGGCGAAGGCGGCCUACUGGGCACCAACUGACGCUGAGGCUCGAAAGUGUGGGUAGCAAACAGGAUUAGAUACCCUGGUAGUCCACACCGUAAACGAUGAUUACUAGGUGUUGGAGGAUUGACCCCUUCAGUGCCGC
Molecule: ribosomal RNA, 830 nt
Filed under: uncultured bacterium
Lineage: Bacteria
Description: bacterial SSU rRNA
Rfam family: Bacterial small subunit ribosomal RNA
Source: RNAcentral